UGCCCUUCAGUCUGGGACAAGCCCUGGAAACGGGGUCUAAUACCGGAUAACACUUACCUCCUCCUGGGGGUUGGUUAAAAGCUCCGGCGGUGAAGGAUGAGCCCGCGGCCUAUCAGCUUGUUGGUGGGGUAAUGGCCUACCAAGGCGACGACGGGUAGCCGGCCUGAGAGGGCGACCGGCCACACUGGGACUGAGACACGGCCCANACUCCUACGGGAGGCAGCAGUGGGGAAUAUUGCACAAUGGGCGAAAGCCUGAUGCAGCGACGCCGCGUGAGGGAUGACGGCCUUCGGGUUGUAAACCUCUUUCAGCAGGGAAGAAGCGCAAGUGACGGUACCUGCANAANAAGCACCGGCUAACUACGUGCCAGCAGCCGCGGUAAUACGUAGGGUGCGAGCGUUGUCCGGAAUUAUUGGGNGNAAAGAGCUCGUAGGCGG
RNAcentral lists this ribosomal RNA (437 nucleotides) under Actinobacteridae bacterium 11-04PB. Its description in RNAcentral is "bacterial SSU rRNA". It matches the Rfam family "Bacterial small subunit ribosomal RNA", at positions 127 to 578 of the family's 1533-position model. The record is from RNAcentral. Lineage: Bacteria; Bacillati; Actinomycetota; Actinomycetes.